This 29-nucleotide non-coding RNA is filed under the name Mus musculus (house mouse). The record is from RNAcentral. Lineage: Eukaryota; Metazoa; Chordata; Mammalia; Rodentia; Muridae.
UGUUAAUGUAGCAAUGGAUUGUUUUUUAA